RNAcentral lists this long non-coding RNA (1007 nucleotides) under Homo sapiens (human). RNAcentral describes it as "HSALNT0316949". Lineage: Eukaryota; Metazoa; Chordata; Mammalia; Primates; Hominidae. The record is from RNAcentral.
GGCUCCGCCUCCCGGGUUCACGCCAUUCUCCUGCCUCAGCCUCCAAGCAGUUGGGACUACAGACGCCCGCCACCACGCCCGGCUAAUUUUUUGGGGGUUUUUUUGUAUUUUUAGUAGAGACGGGGUUUCACCUUGUUAGCCAGGAUGGUCUCGAUCUCCUGACCUCGUGAUCCGCCCACCUCAGCCUCCCAAAGUGCUGGGAUUACAGGCAUGAGCCACCGCGCCCGGCCGGCCCUCAUUUUCUGAUCGGUGAAAUGGGAAUAACACAUUUGCUCUGCUCUCUCAAAUAUGAGCUGUCUUGCGGAUCAAAUGGAGAUCAUGAGUGAAUGAGAAAGAAAAGUAGCCCCAAAGGCUUAAGAAUGAAGGGAGCCAUGUCCCUCUUAAGAAAGCCAGAAUUAAUAUAUGAAAUCAGCUGUCAACAUUCACCUUAAAAAGCAGGCGGGAGAUGAUGUUGCCCAGGUAAAAAUUGAGAGGAAUAAAUGGCAGAAAUCAAAUCAAGAACUGACUGAAACGAAAGCAAGAAUCAUGACAAUAAUCCCUCUCCACCUCAGUCUACAUCGCCAAGGCUGAGACCUAAUCAAUGUCACUGCAGUAUCUGGAAAAAACUAUGGCAAGAGAGACGGCCUGUGUGCAACCCAAAGAAUAGCAAGCAAUCUGCCACGAGCCUCUACAAUCACUGAGCUAUCCCCAUGCCCAUACCUUCCUACAGAUGUAAGGAAGUUCCUGGAAGCCUGAAGAAUAUACUCUCAUUUCCUCAAUAUAUCUUUGAGACAAGAAAUAUUGGUGGUCGGUCUACCUUGGCUGGAGAUUGUGCAGCUAUACUGGGUGCUAAGGAGCCAAAGGAAAGACACAGUCCCUGCCCUCCAGGAGGUCACAGGGUAGUGGGAAAGGUGGACAAUUGAACAAUGGUUAACACGCUGUGAUGGUGCAACAACAGAGGUAGUAUGAGGAUGGCCAUAAAGUGAGCGAGUGUUGGGCCGGGUGCAGUGGCUCACACCUGUAAUCCC